GCGCGGUUAGUUCAGUGGUUAGAAUUCUCGCUUCCCAUCUUCUCUUGGAAUAGCGAGUGACCCGGGUUCGAAUCCCGGAUUGCGCA
This is a transfer RNA of Chaetomium globosum CBS 148.51, 86 nucleotides long. It matches the Rfam family "tRNA". Rfam says of the family: Transfer RNA (tRNA) molecules are approximately 80 nucleotides in length. The record is from Rfam. NCBI's taxonomy places the organism in Eukaryota, Fungi, Ascomycota, Sordariomycetes, Sordariales, Chaetomiaceae.